GCCAUCGUGGAGCGAGUGAUGCAGGCUUCGGCCAUCGAGAAUUUGCUCAGCGAAGGAACGUGGUUGACCGCCGCGGAUGUAGCCAAGCUGGGCAACUACAGCCAGAGUAAUCCGUCGGAGCCAGCAAACCGUUGGAAAAAAGAGGGCAGAAUCUUCGCGGUGAGCACUGGAAAUCAGACACGCUAUCCG
This 189-nucleotide unclassified non-coding RNA is filed under the name uncultured fungus. RNAcentral's name for it is "sequence contains ITS1". The record is from RNAcentral. Lineage: Eukaryota; Fungi.